CCCUUAGAUGCCCUGGGCCGCACGCGUGCUACACUGACACUUACACCGAGUUUUUCCAAUGCCGAAAGGCCAUUGGUAAUCAGCAAUAAGUGUCGUGAUGGGGAUAGAUCUUUGGAAUUAUUGAUCUUGAACGAGGAAUGCCUAGUAAUCGUAGGUCAUCAGCCUGCGAUGAUUACGUCCCUGCCCUUUGUACACACCGCCCGUCGCUCCUACCGAUUUCGAGUGGUUCGGUGAAAUCUCGGGACGGCGGCUUGGUCGCUUGCGUCCGACUGCUGAAACUUGAUUAAACCAUAUCAUUUAGAGGAAGGUGAAGUCGUAACA
Molecule: ribosomal RNA, 321 nt
Filed under: uncultured eukaryote
Lineage: Eukaryota
Description: partial 18S ribosomal RNA
Rfam family: Eukaryotic small subunit ribosomal RNA
Source: RNAcentral